GAUGAACGCUGGCGGCGUGCCUAAUACAUGCAAGUCGAGCGAACGGACGAGAAGCUUGCUUCUCUGACGUUAGCGGCGGACGGGUGAGUAACACGUGGAUAACCUACCUAUAAGACUGGGAUAACUUCGGGAAACCGGAGCUAAUACCGGAUGAUAUUUUGAACCGCAUGGUUCAAAAGUGAAAGACGGUCUUGCUGUCACUUCUAGAUGGAUCCGCGCUGCAUUAGCUAGUUGGUAAGGUAACGGCUUACCAAGGCAACGAUGCAUAGCCGACCUGAGAGGGUGAUCGGCCACACUGGAACUGAGACACGGUCCAGACUCCUACGGGAGGCAGCAGUAGGGAAUCUGCCGCAAUGGGCGAAAGCCUGACGGAGCAACGCCGCGUGAGUGAUGAAGGUCUUCGGAUCGUAAAACUCUGUUAUUAGGGAAGAACAGAUGUGUAAGUAACUGUGCACAUCUUGACGGUACCUAAUCAGAAAGCCACGGCUAACUACGUG
This 497-nucleotide ribosomal RNA is filed under the name uncultured bacterium. Its description in RNAcentral is "partial 16S ribosomal RNA". It matches the Rfam family "Bacterial small subunit ribosomal RNA", at positions 28 to 507 of the family's 1533-position model. The record is from RNAcentral.